This is a non-coding RNA of Mycena leptocephala, 99 nucleotides long. The record is from the annotation of a GenBank genome assembly. Lineage: Eukaryota; Fungi; Basidiomycota; Agaricomycetes; Agaricales; Mycenaceae.
UCUCGACUAGUAUAUCGGUUUAGUACACGCGCCUGUCAUCCUCUUGAUUAUGUCGUAAUUGGAUCGCGCGAAAGCUGGGUUCGACUCCCAGGUCGAGAG